This 690-nucleotide ribosomal RNA is filed under the name Ustilago filiformis. RNAcentral's name for it is "eukaryotic LSU rRNA". The stretch from base 211 to 365 matches the Rfam family "5.8S ribosomal RNA". Lineage: Eukaryota; Fungi; Basidiomycota; Ustilaginomycetes; Ustilaginales; Ustilaginaceae. The record is from RNAcentral.
CCUUUUUUCUGAGGUGUGGCUCGCACCUGUCUAACUAAACUUGAGCUACCCAAUUUCAACACGGUUGCAUCGGUUGGCUGUCAAACAGUGCCUCGGCGCUGGGAGGCGGUCGACACACAACACAAACACUUUUGAUGAUCUAGGAUUUUGAAUGAAGUUCAUUUUUACGAUGGAACCGACUGGUAAUGCGGUCGUCUAAAUCUAAAAAACAACUUUUGGCAACGGAUCUCUUGGUUCUCCCAUCGAUGAAGAACGCAGCGAAUUGCGAUAAGUAAUGUGAAUUGCAGAAGUGAAUCAUCGAAUCUUUGAACGCACCUUGCGCUCCCGGCAGAUCUAAUCUGGGGAGCAUGCCUGUUUGAGGGCCGCGAAUUGUUUCGAACGACAGCUUUUUUUCUUUGUGAAAAAGUUGGCGGAUCGGUAUUGAGGGUUUGCCAUUUACCAUGGCUCCCUCGAAAUGCAUUAGCGCAUCCAUUUGAUAGGCAAGACGGACGAAAGCUCGAUUUUCGCCCUCUCUUCCCUGCCGGGUUUUGAUAAUAUCAGGACUUCGGAGGCGGAGAAAGGGUUAGAGCUGGACGCAACGUUUUGCUGUUUGGAGUGCUUCUGAAACCCGCCCAUGCCUCUUUCUUCGGAAAAGGAAGGGAUUUUUUUCAAUUCAUCGGCCUCAGAUUGGUAGGACUACCCGCUGAACUU